This 425-nucleotide ribosomal RNA is filed under the name uncultured bacterium. RNAcentral's name for it is "bacterial SSU rRNA". It matches the Rfam family "Bacterial small subunit ribosomal RNA", at positions 356 to 773 of the family's 1533-position model. The record is from RNAcentral.
AGGGAAUCUUCCGCAAUGGACGAAAGUCUGACGGAGCAACGCCGCGUGAGUGAUGAAGGUUUUCGGAUCGUAAAACUCUGUUGUUAGGGAAGAAUAAGUACGAGAGUAACUGCUCGUACCUUGACGGUACCUAACCAGAAAGCCACGGCUAACUACGUGCCAGCAGCCGCGGUAAUACGUAGGUGGCAAGCGUUGUCCGGAAUUAUUGGGCGUAAAGCGCGCGCAGGCGGUUCCUUAAGUCUGAUGUGAAAGCCCACGGCUCAACCGUGGAGGGUCAUUGGAAGCUGGGGAACUUGAGUGCAGGAGAGAAGAGUGGAAUUCCACGUGUAGCGGUGAAAUGCGUAGAGAUGUGGAGGAACACCAGUGGCGAAGGCGACUCUUUGGCCUGUAACUGACGCUGAGGCGCGAAAGCGUGGGGAGCAAAC